RNAcentral lists this ribosomal RNA (468 nucleotides) under uncultured bacterium. RNAcentral describes it as "partial 16S ribosomal RNA". It matches the Rfam family "Bacterial small subunit ribosomal RNA", at positions 28 to 507 of the family's 1533-position model. The record is from RNAcentral.
GACGAACGCUGGCGGCGUGCUUAACACAUGCAAGUCGAACGGAAAGGCCCUGCUUUUGUGGGGUGCUCGAGUGGCGAACGGGUGAGUAACACGUGAGUAACCUGCCAUUGACUUUGGGAUAACUUCAGGAAACUGGGGCUCAUACCGGAUAGGAGCUCCUGCUGCAUGGUGGGGGUUGGAAAGUUUCGGCGGUUGGGGAUGGACUCGCGGCUUAUCAGCUUGUUGGUGGGGUAGUGGCUUACCAAGGCUUUGACGGGUAGCCGGCCUGAGAGGGUGACCGGCCACAUUGGGACUGAGAUACGGCCCAGACUCCUACGGGAGGCAGCAGUGGGGAAUAUUGCACAGUGGGCGGAAGCCUGAUGCAGCAACGCCGCGUGCGGGAUGACGGCCUUCGGGUUGUAAACCGCUUUCGCCUGUGACGAAGCGUGAGUGACGGUAAUGGGUAAAGAAGCACCGGCUAACUACGUG